This 253-nucleotide ribosomal RNA is filed under the name uncultured bacterium. RNAcentral describes it as "partial 16S ribosomal RNA". It matches the Rfam family "Bacterial small subunit ribosomal RNA", at positions 524 to 776 of the family's 1533-position model. The record is from RNAcentral.
UACGUAGGGAGCAAGCAUUAAUCGGAUUUAUUGGGCGUAAAGGGCGCGUAGGCUGGAGCGUAAGUCAGAUGUGAAAUCCCGGGGCUCAACCCCGGAACUGCAUUUGAAACUGUGUUUCUAGAGGGUAGGCGGAGAAAACGGAAUUCCACAAGUAGCGGUGAAAUGCGUAGAUAUGUGGAAGAACACCAGUGGCGAAGGCGGUUUUCUAGCUUAUACCUGACGCUGAUGCGCGAAAGCAAGGGGAGCAAACAGG